RNAcentral lists this ribosomal RNA (774 nucleotides) under uncultured Neocallimastigales. Its description in RNAcentral is "partial large subunit ribosomal RNA". It matches the Rfam family "Eukaryotic large subunit ribosomal RNA", at positions 23 to 632 of the family's 3401-position model. The record is from RNAcentral. Lineage: Eukaryota; Fungi; Neocallimastigomycota; Neocallimastigomycetes; Neocallimastigales.
ACACGCAUGACACACUGCAUAUCAAUAAGCGGAGGAAAAGAAACUAACAAGGAUUCCCUUAGUAACGGCGAGUGAAGCGGGAAGAGCUCAAAUUUGAAAUCUUCAAGGUUCUACCUUGACGAAUUGUAGUUUAUAGAAGUGUUUUCUGUUAGUGGAGUGGCAAAAGUUCUUUGGAAUAGGACAUCAUAGAGGGUGAGAAUCCCGUAUUUGGUCAUUCCUCCUAGCGUUGUGAUACACUUUCAACGAGUCGGAUUGUUUGGGAAUGCAGUCCAAAAUGGGUGGUAAAUUUCAUCUAAAGCUAAAUAUUGGCGAGAGACCGAUAGCGAACAAGUACCGUGAGGGAAAGAUGAAAAGAACUUUGAAAAGAGAGUUAAACAGUACGUGAAAUUGUCAAAAGGGAAGCGUUUGACACCAGUGUUGUUUUUCCGGAAAAUCAAUUACGAAUGUUUUAUUUUUGAGAGUUAUGACUUCAUCGGCUUGCUUCCUCUCUUUAUGAAACUUUCUUAAUGCACUUUUCGGUUAACAAGUCAACAUCAAUUUCUUUUGUUGUAAAAGGGUAUGAGGAAGGUGGCUCUCUUUUCGGAGAAAGUGUUUAUAGCCUUGUACCUCUGCAAUCGGAGAGAUUGAGGUCUGCAGCGUAGAUCCUUCGGGGUUAGAUACAUUUGUGCUAAGUUAUAGCUUUUCAUAGACAACUUGUUGACUAUGUUAGUCUUGUAGCUUACUCGCUUAUGCUAUUUUACCUACGCUUAGGAUGUUGAAGACUCUACAGAGAUA